UGGGGAAUUUUACACAAUGGGGGAAACCCUGAUGUAGCAACGCCGCGUGGAGGAUGACGGAUCUAGGUCUGUAAACUCCUUUUAUAAGGGAAGAAAUUUGACGGUACCUUAUGAAUAAGCACCGGCUAACUCCGUGCCAGCAGCCGCGGUAAUACGGGGGGUGCAAGCGUUACUCGGAAUCACUGGGCGUAAAGGGAGCGUAGGCGUUUUAUUAAGUCUUGAGUGAAAGCUCGCAGCUCAACUGCGGAACUGCUCAGGAAACUGAUAGAAUUGAGUAUGGAAGAGGUAGGUGGAAUUUCCGGUUUAGGGGUAAAAUCCGUAGAUAUCGGAAGGAAUACCAGAAGCGAAGGCGACCUACUGGGACAUUACUGACGCUGAGGCUCGAAAGUGUGGGGAGCAAACA
RNAcentral lists this ribosomal RNA (403 nucleotides) under uncultured bacterium. Its description in RNAcentral is "bacterial SSU rRNA". It matches the Rfam family "Bacterial small subunit ribosomal RNA", at positions 355 to 774 of the family's 1533-position model. The record is from RNAcentral.